RNAcentral lists this ribosomal RNA (1908 nucleotides) under Escherichia coli. RNAcentral's name for it is "partial 23S ribosomal RNA". It matches the Rfam family "Bacterial large subunit ribosomal RNA", at positions 612 to 2505 of the family's 2925-position model. Lineage: Bacteria; Pseudomonadati; Pseudomonadota; Gammaproteobacteria; Enterobacterales; Enterobacteriaceae. The record is from RNAcentral.
AUAAUGGGUCAGCGACUUAUAUUCUGUAGCAAGGUUAACCGAAUAGGGGAGCCGAAGGGAAACCGAGUCUUAACUGGGCGUUAAGUUGCAGGGUAUAGACCCGAAACCCGGUGAUCUAGCCAUGGGCAGGUUGAAGGUUGGGUAACACUAACUGGAGGACCGAACCGACUAAUGUUGAAAAAUUAGCGGAUGACUUGUGGCUGGGGGUGAAAGGCCAAUCAAACCGGGAGAUAGCUGGUUCUCCCCGAAAGCUAUUUAGGUAGCGCCUCGUGAAUUCAUCUCCGGGGGUAGAGCACUGUUUCGGCAAGGGGGUCAUCCCGACUUACCAACCCGAUGCAAACUGCGAAUACCGGAGAAUGUUAUCACGGGAGACACACGGCGGGUGCUAACGUCCGUCGUGAAGAGGGAAACAACCCAGACCGCCAGCUAAGGUCCCAAAGUCAUGGUUAAGUGGGAAACGAUGUGGGAAGGCCCAGACAGCCAGGAUGUUGGCUUAGAAGCAGCCAUCAUUUAAAGAAAGCGUAAUAGCUCACUGGUCGAGUCGGCCUGCGCGGAAGAUGUAACGGGGCUAAACCAUGCACCGAAGCUGCGGCAGCGACGCUGAUGCGUUGUUGGGUAGGGGAGCGUUCUGUAAGCCUGUGAAGGUGUGCUGUGAGGCAUGCUGGAGGUAUCAGAAGUGCGAAUGCUGACAUAAGUAACGAUAAAGCGGGUGAAAAGCCCGCUCGCCGGAAGACCAAGGGUUCCUGUCCAACGUUAAUCGGGGCAGGGUGAGUCGACCCCUAAGGCGAGGCCGAAAGGCGUAGUCGAUGGGAAACAGGUUAAUAUUCCUGUACUUGGUGUUACUGCGAAGGGGGGACGGAGAAGGCUAUGUUGGCCGGGCGACGGUUGUCCCGGUUUAAGCGUGUAGGCUGGUUUUCCAGGCAAAUCCGGAAAAUCAAGGCUGAGGCGUGAUGACGAGGCACUACGGUGCUGAAGCAACAAAUGCCCUGCUUCCAGGAAAAGCCUCUAAGCAUCAGGUAACAUCAAAUCGUACCCCAAACCGACACAGGUGGUCAGGUAGAGAAUACCAAGGCGCUUGAGAGAACUCGGGUGAAGGAACUAGGCAAAAUGGUGCCGUAACUUCGGGAGAAGGCACGCUGAUAUGUAGGUGAAGUCCCUCGCGGAUGGAGCUGAAAUCAGUCGAAGAUACCAGCUGGCUGCAACUGUUUAUUAAAAACACAGCACUGUGCAAACACGAAAGUGGACGUAUACGGUGUGACGCCUGCCCGGUGCCGGAAGGUUAAUUGAUGGGGUCAGCGCAAGCGAAGCUCUUGAUCGAAGCCCCGGUAAACGGCGGCCGUAACUAUAACGGUCCUAAGGUAGCGAAAUUCCUUGUCGGGUAAGUUCCGACCUGCACGAAUGGCGUAAUGAUGGCCAGGCUGUCUCCACCCGAGACUCAGUGAAAUUGAACUCGCUGUGAAGAUGCAGUGUACCCGCGGCAAGACGGAAAGACCCCGUGAACCUUUACUAUAGCUUGACACUGAACAUUGAGCCUUGAUGUGUAGGAUAGGUGGGAGGCUUUGAAGUGUGGACGCCAGUCUGCAUGGAGCCGGCCUUGAAAUACCACCCUUUAAUGUUUGAUGUUCUAACGUUGACCCGUGAUCCGGGUUGCGGACAGUGUCUGGUGGGUAGUUUGACUGGGGCGGUCUCCUCCUAAAGAGUAACGGAGGAGCACGAAGGUUGGCUAAUCCUGGUCGGACAUCAGGAGGUUAGUGCAAUGGCAUAAGCCAGCUUGACUGCGAGCGUGACGGCGCGAGCAGGUGCGAAAGCAGGUCAUAGUGAUCCGGUGGUUCUGAAUGGAAGGGCCAUCGCUCAACGGAUAAAAGGUACUCCGGGGAUAACAGGCUGAUACCGCCCAAGAGUUCAUAU